RNAcentral lists this unclassified non-coding RNA (220 nucleotides) under Hevea brasiliensis (rubber tree). Lineage: Eukaryota; Viridiplantae; Streptophyta; Magnoliopsida; Malpighiales; Euphorbiaceae. The record is from RNAcentral.
CUUGUCCUGGGCGGAGACUGGCGUCGCAAGCGCGGCGGCAAGCAGCGAGACGACCAGAGCAUAAGCAUAUCGAUGUGUCAUAACCUGUCCUUUUAGUGUUCAAACGACGAGAUCGCCGCGUACGAAAGCCGCAGCUUCCGGUGUCGACGGGUUUUUGAGGAAAUCUUCAGCAGGCGUUUGUUCGCGAACGGCGCCGCGCACCAUGAAAACGACAUCGCCG